GGGUUUGGGCUUUGCUUGCGCAGGAUAGGUGGGAGGCUUUGAUGGUAUUCUUGCGGGAAUAUCGGAGCCAAUGGUGAGAUACCACUCUAGUAAGGCUAAAAUUCUAACUUCGAACCGUUAUCCGGUCGAGGAACAGUUUCAGGUGGGCAGUUUGACUGGGGCGGUCGCCUCCUAAAAGGUAACGGAGGCGUGCAAAGGUUCCCUCAGGCUGGUUGGACAUCAGUCGUAGAGUGUAAAGGCAUAAGGGAGCUUGACUGCGAGACCAACAAGUCGAGCAGAGACGAAAGUCGGCCUUAGUGAUCCGACGGUUCCGAGUGGAAGGGCCGUCGCUCAACGGAUAAAAGUUACUCUAGGGAUAACA
RNAcentral lists this ribosomal RNA (361 nucleotides) under uncultured eukaryote. Its description in RNAcentral is "LSU rRNA". It matches the Rfam family "Bacterial large subunit ribosomal RNA", at positions 2119 to 2479 of the family's 2925-position model. The record is from RNAcentral.